This 1145-nucleotide long non-coding RNA is filed under the name Equus asinus (donkey). Its description in RNAcentral is "lncRNA (ENSEASG00005033302.1)". The record is from RNAcentral. Lineage: Eukaryota; Metazoa; Chordata; Mammalia; Perissodactyla; Equidae.
GGAAGCAAGAUGCUUUGGGGCCUCUCUGCCCCUUUGGAAACAAGGCAGCACCUUGGGCCUGGCAGCUCUAGGGCAAUGGAGCACACCCAGAGCAGAAGUUCUACUUCAGCCAGAUCAGGCCUGCCAAGAAACUGCGUUUCACAGGCCUUUCAAAGAGAUGUUCUCUUAGGCUGUAAUAGCACGGGGCAGAGCCAGCUGUUUCUUAGCUUCCCGAAGAGCUGGGAGCAUGAUACUUUGGGGACCCUUUCCCCUUUUGGAAACAAGGCCGCCCUUGGGGCCUUGCAGCUGUAGGCCAAUGUAGCACACACAGAGCAGAAUUUCUACUUCAGCCAAAUCAGGCCUGCUAGGAAACUGCGUAUCACAGGAGUUGGUAAGAGAUGUUCAUGGUAGGCUGUAAGAGCACUGGGCAGAGCCAGCUGUUUCUUAGCUUCCCGAAGAGCUGGAAGGAAGAUGCUUUGGGGCCUCUCUGCCCCUUUCCAAACAAGGCAGCCCUUUGGGCCCGGCAGAUCUAGGCCAAUGGAGCACACCCAGAGCAGAAUUUCUACUUCAGCCCAUCAGGCCUGCUAGGAAACUGCGUAUCACGGGCCUUGGUAAGAGAUGUUCCCGGUAGGCUGUAAGAGCACUGGGCACAGCCAGUUGUUUCUUAGCUUCCCGAACAGCUGGAAGCAGGAUGCUUUGGGACCUCUCUGCCCCUUUGCAAACAAGGCGGCCUUUUGGGCCUGGCAGCUCAAGGACGAUGGAGCACACCCAGAGCAGAAGUUCUACUUCAGCCAGAUCAGGCCUGCCAAGAAACUGCGUUUCACAGGCCUUGGUAAGAGAUGUUCCCGGUAGGCUGUAAGAGCACUGGGCAGAGCCAGUUGUUUCUUACCUUCCUGAAAAGCUGGAAGCAAGAUGCUUGGGACCCCUCUGCCCGUUUGGGAACAAGGCAGCCUUUUGGGUCGGGAAGCUCUAGGCCAAUGGAGCACACGCAGAGCAGGAGUUCUACUUCAGCCUGAUCAGGCCUGCAAAGAAACAGCGUUUGACAGGCCUUGGUAAGAGAUGUUCCCGGUAGGUGUAAGAGCACUGGGCAGAGCCAGUUGUUUCUUAGCUUCGCAAAGACCGGGAAGCAAGAUGCUUUGGGCCUCUCUGCCCCUUGGAAACAGGGC